UGCCUCUUCAGUUCCAGAGGCUUCUUCUGGUGUCUGUAGCUCUUGACAGUGGUACUUCACCUUCAGUGGUUUGCCGGGGUACCAGACCAAGUGAAUAUGACAGGGAAUCAUUUCCUGGGAAAUAAGAGUUCUAAAAUAUUACGAUCUGCAAAAACUUGUGGUUUAAACAGUUCUAUAUACCGUUUUGUUUUACCUGUGUUGAGAAUUCAUGGAGUAGAACAGUAUAAUCAAAAUCAAUUGCAUCUUCGUUUGUUUUCUAGAAGAAGAAAGAAAGAGUUAGUGCGAUAGAUAGUGUGGGUUUAUAUUAGCUUAGAAUUUGGAAGGCUCGUCUUAUAUCACCUGCCUUGAAUGGGUGGAUGGGUGCCUUGAAUCACCUGCCGCCUCUUUGAUUCUAGCCUCAUCUCCUUUGGUGGUAUCCUGCAUUAAGAUGUGGAAGUUGUUGAUUCUUACUGUUUUGCCACUGUCAUGAUAAUCUAGUAAGGUCCUUCUGUCACUUUUUCUCUCUUAAUAUUUAUGGGUUCUGAUGGAGAUUAAGGUCUAUGAGAAUAGGGAGAAUCUUUUGACAGCCUAAGGAAUCUAGAUACUGUAUACGCACCUCAAGCUGAUUUAUAGCCCUGAUAUGCCAGGCAGUAAGACAAGGGGCAGGGCAAUCAGGAUUUCUAGAAGGACACCAUGGGCCAGGUUCUCUGCUAGGCACUUUAUACAUGUUCUUACGGAAUUCUGUCUUGCAAGAAUAUGUAUUAUGAGCCUUCUUUUACAGGGAAGGCAACUUGAGGUUACAACUAGUAGGUGACAAGUGGGGAUUCAAACCCAGAUCUACUGACUCCACCACCCAUAUCCUUCAUGCUGUACCACACUGCUUCUAAAACCAGCACAUUUUAUAGUGAUGAAGACUUUUACAAGCCAUGAAAUUUCCAUCAGGUGGAGGGGGUACUGGAGGGAUAUGAUACAAGAGAGGGCCUGGAUCAAUCAGAAAGUGACUGCUUUUCUGUGGUACUUUGCGUCAUUGGCCAUCAGUAUCUCCCCUGCCCUUGGCUUAGUCCUCAUGGUUUGGGAAUGACAUCUGUUCUUCAGUCCUAAGGCAAUAACUGCCGGUAAGAUGGGUCUUAUAUUUGUAUUGCAGCUAUUUCUUAGCCCACUCUUCUCUCAGGCUGUGUUCAUUUGGGGCUGUGAAGUUUAUAAGGCUGCACUGCCUUACACAAUUGGAUUAUCCCUGAGUGGAGAGAUAGUAAUUCCCACCCAGUAAGCUUUUGGAAAAAACUAUAAUCCCUAUAGAUUCCCGAGCUACCUUGGGCCACGGGCACCUCCAGUCACUCCCUGCUUCUCUGUCUUUGCUUUGUCACCCCUACUGUCCUGCUUCUAGUCUCCAGGGACAGUCCCUAGACUUUCUGAUUGUAGUGACUUUUUUAGAAAUUGUUGCUUGUUUUGCUUGUUGUUACAUAACUUGGAUGGGAGGCCGCCUGGGAAUACUGGGUGCUGUAGGCUUUAAAAAAAAAAAAAACUCUAAUCUGAAAUGCAUAUCAGCCUUAAUCCAAAUUUUCCAAUUGCUUCAGUAUUUUAGCUUUAUGUUAGUUUCGAGGGCUUCAUUCAAUAAGCUUGUUGACCCUCAUUUCAUAGCCCUAAGAGAAGAAGUCAUUUGCCUUAGGUGACCCAACCAAGUCAGCUGCAUCUUCAAUUACUAUUUAUCUAAAACACAGACACCACAGGGUAAAAAAAUCUAAAAGUCCUGUUCCCCCUGCAUUUUUGUUUUCUUAGCUCUACAAUUACAUUUGUCCCCACUUUCCCACUUGUAGGGAUAUUAAUGGACAGAUGAUGGACAUCAAAGACAGACUGGCUAGAAUGAGUGAGAAAUGGGGCUGCUGUUUUCAAGCCAUAGUAAGUCCUGGUGUUUACUUAGGUGAUGUGUCAUUUAUAAAUGCAGAAGAAUGGAAAACAAUGCCAUUAAAAGAUCCUAAUUUUUUCUCGUGUCCCUGUUGCUCUAUUCUUAUUGAGUUUUCCUCUGACAUUCAUUAAAAUUAGUUCUAUUAUCUUGACGCCAUUUUCUACACUCAACAAAAAAUUUCCCCUAACUUCUCAGUUAAAGGAAAAGCCUUCUGUUGAGGACGUGAUUGUCUUGGUAGACGAGAGAAACUUUUUACCUGCAGCCAAAGAAUCGGUGCUGUGCCCUAACUCCUGGUGUAACAGCAGUCAAUUACACGGCCAUUUCUAUCAAAGCCACUCCAUAGGGGAAAGAAACGUUCAUUUCGAUAAGGAAUGAAACUACAUUUCAAACAGUUGUCUGCUUCACAAGUGGCCUUUGAAAGGUACACCGAGCUAUUACCAGCAUGAAUAAUGCUGGCUGGACGCCAGGCAACUCCUUGUACUCGGAAGAUACUCACUGCUCUCCAUCCAUGGCGAAUGUACUGCUUCAGCCACCCGUGAAGAAAACGAUUUUUAGAAAUGUGUACUUAUGGUUGGCUCAGCCUGCCUCUGAGUAGUUGAUACUGUUUACUCUGGAAGUGCCCCUCCCUCUCCACAUGACAGGUGCCUGACAAAACCCCCCACUCAGCCACCUCCUUGUCCGCACCCCACCAGUUGAGUGACUGGCCCUUCUCUAAAUUCGCGACCACAGACCUUCAGAGGCCUGCAGUGCUGCAUGAUGCUCGAAUCCACGCACUCCCACCCCCUCUCACCUCCUGUUCCAUCCUCACGCUCAGCUGGUGACUUUGCCUCAUUUUUCACUGAGAAGACAGAAGCAGUCAGGAAAGAACUUCCACAGGCCGUCACGUGAUACCCACCCUCCUACCAGCAUCUGUGCCACAUUGAAAGCCUUGCUCCAGGUGAACUCUGUGCCCUUGUCCAGUCAUCUCCUGGAUCGAUCAUAUCCUCUCUUUAUCUCCUCAAAGAUGUUAACUCCAACAAGUCUUCCUUCUCUUCCCUACAAGUCCUACUUUGCCCCUCUCUACUGGAUUUUUCUCAUCAACAUAUAAAUAUGCCGUUAAAUUGCCCAAUCUAAAAAUACAACGGAAAACCCUCCUUCAACCCUGUGCUUACGCAUCCUCCAGCUCUAGCCCCCUCCCUCCCUUUUACUCCGCUUUAUAGCUAAAUCCCUUGAAAGACAUGGAGUGUCCGCUUCCUCUCCCGUUCUUUCCUGAACCUAUUCUAAUCAGGACUUUGCGCACACUGUGCCAGUGAGGCAGCUCUUGAUAAGCUCUCCAUCUGCUUCCAGCUCGCCUAAACCUAAUGGCAGUUCUCGGUCCUCAUCUUUCUUGACCUUCCAGCAGCAUUUGAUAGUCAGUUCUCAUCCUUGAAACACUUUUUUUUCCCUCAUAUCUCUAAACCCUCUAAAGUUGGAAGUGUUCCAGGACUCAAUCCCUACAUAACCUUCCUCUGUUUACACUCAUUCUCUCAUCUCAACCACUCUUGAGGCUUUAAAAACCAUCUAUGUGGUGAUGACUCCAGCCUAGACAUCUCCCCUGAACUUCAGACUCUUAUGUCCAGAUGACGAUACAAAUUCUCUGCUUGGUUAUGGAAUUUAGAAUGCUCCAACUCAAGCUAAUUUCCACCCAAAUCUGUUCCUCUGUAGUCUUCCCCAAUCAGUAAGUGAAAACUCUAUCCUUCCAUCCAGUUACUCAGGCCAAAAUCAUAAGAAUCAUCCUUGACUUUUCUCAUUCUUGGAUAUAUCCAUAUCUAACCCAUCAACAAAUACUGCUGGUCUACCUUCAAAAUGCAAACACUUCUCACCACAUCCACUGCUGCCACCCUGGUCCGAGCUACCACCAGGCCUUGCCUAGGCUACUGCAAUACAUUACUGCUCUCCUUGCUUCCACCCUUGUCUAUCUACAGUCUGUUCUCAACACAGCAGCCAGAAUGAUCCUGUUGUAAGUCAGAUCGUGUCACUUCUCUGCUAAAAACCCUGUAGUGAGUAAAAGACAGGGUCCUUCUAAUGGCCUUCCAUGAACUGACCGCCUCCAUCCGAUCUCAUCUCCCGGCACGCUCCCCUUGCUCAAUCUCUUGCAGCCAUACCGGCCUCACUGCUGUUUCUCCAACCCAUCAGCCACAAUGCUGCCUCCGUCCCCUCUGUCUGAAAUGCCUUCCCUUCUGGAGGCGUGGCUCACUCUCACUUCCCUUAGGCCUCUGCUCCAGUGUCACCUCUGCUUAAAUUAGAGGGGCCUUGCUUUAGACUAAAGUUUAAUUCUGUCAAUACCCUGCAUUCCCUUUUCCCUACUUUAUUUUUCUCCAUAGCACCUACCACAUAUUUACUUGUUUAUCGCUUCACUGUCUUUCUUCUCUUGGUAGAAUUAGUCUCAAUAAGGAGAGCUACACUGAGUUUUUUGUUUAGUGCUAUAUCCUCAGUCCCCACAACCAUACCUGGCAUUCAGAUAUUUAUUGAGUUAAUGAAAUGCAAUUAAAACUCUUGCCACAGAACUAGAAGUUCACAUUAAUUUAGUCUAAGAACAUUGCAUUGGUUGUAUCUCUUGUGGUACAAGUUAAUUGUCAGUUUUUCUUACCCACUGCUUCACACUGCUGAGC
Molecule: non-coding RNA, 4512 nt
Organism: Delphinapterus leucas (beluga whale)
Lineage: Eukaryota; Metazoa; Chordata; Mammalia; Artiodactyla; Monodontidae
Source: RefSeq, a predicted model, not a curated record